AACGAACGCUGGCGGCAUGCCUAACACAUGCAAGUCGAACGAUCCCUUCGGGGAUCGUGGCGCACGGGUGCGUAACGCGUGGGAACCUGCCCUUAGGUUCGGAAUAACUCAGAGAAAUUUGAGCUAAUACCGGAUAAUGUCUUCGGACCAAAGAUUUAUCGCCUUUGGAUGGGCCCGCGUUGGAUUAGCUAGUUGGUGGGGUAAAGGCCUACCAAGGCGACGAUCCAUAGCUGGUCUGAGAGGAUGAUCAGCCACACUGGGACUGAGACACGGCCCAGACUCCUACGGGAGGCAGCAGUGGGGAAUAUUGGACAAUGGGCGAAAGCCUGAUCCAGCAAUGCCGCGUGAGUGAUGAAGGCCUUAGGGUUGUAAAGCUCUUUUACCCGGGAUGAUAAUGACAGUACCGGGAGAAUAAGCCCCGGCUAACUCCGUG
This 433-nucleotide ribosomal RNA is filed under the name uncultured bacterium. RNAcentral describes it as "partial 16S ribosomal RNA". It matches the Rfam family "Bacterial small subunit ribosomal RNA", at positions 29 to 507 of the family's 1533-position model. The record is from RNAcentral.